RNAcentral lists this ribosomal RNA (430 nucleotides) under Verrucomicrobiota bacterium. Its description in RNAcentral is "Verrucomicrobia bacterium partial 16S ribosomal RNA". It matches the Rfam family "Bacterial small subunit ribosomal RNA", at positions 355 to 776 of the family's 1533-position model. Lineage: Bacteria; Pseudomonadati; Verrucomicrobiota. The record is from RNAcentral.
UGGGGAAUCUUCCGCAAUGGACGAAAGUCUGACGGAGCAACGCCGCGUGAGUGAUGACGGUCUUCGGAUUGUAAAGCUCUGUUAAUCGGGACGAAUGGUUUGUGUGCAAAUAGUGCAUAGACAUGACGGUACCUGCAGAAGAAGCACCGGCUAACUACGUGCCAGCAGCCGCGGUAAUACGUAGGGUGCGAGCGUUGUCCGGAAUUACUGGGCGUAAAGAGCUCGUAGGCGGUUUGUCACGUCGUCUGUGAAAUCCUAGGGCUUAACCCUGGACGUGCAGGCGAUACGGGCUGACUUGAGUACUACAGGGGAGACUGGAAUUUCUGGUGUAGCGGUGGAAUGCACAGAUAUCAGGAAGAACACCGAUGGCGAAGGCAGGUCUCUGGGUAGUAACUGACGCUGAGGAGCGAAAGCAUGGGUAGCGAACAGG